UAGGGAAUCUUCGGCAAUGGACGGAAGUCUGACCGAGCAACGCCGCGUGAGUGAAGAAGGUUUUCGGAUCGUAAAGCUCUGUUGUAAGAGAAGAACGAGUGUGAGAGUGGAAAGUUCACACUGUGACGGUAUCUUACCAGAAAGGGACGGCUAACUACGUGCCAGCAGCCGCGGUAAUACGUAGGUCCCGAGCGUUGUCCGGAUUUAUUGGGCGUAAAGCGAGCGCAGGCGGUUAGAUAAGUCUGAAGUUAAAGGCUGUGGCUUAACCAUAGUAGGCUUUGGAAACUGUUUAACUUGAGUGCAAGAGGGGAGAGUGGAAUUUCAUGUGUAGCGGUGAAAUGCGUAGAUAUAUGGAGGAACACCGGUGGCGAAAGCGGCUCUCUGGCUUGUAACUGACGCUGAGGCUGAGGCUCCGGGACAGGAUAGAUACCCUGGUAGUCCACGCUGUAAACGAUGAGUGCUAGGUGUUAGACCCUUUCCGGGGUUUAGUGCCGUAGCUAACGCAUUAAGCACUCCGCCUGGGGAGUACGACCGCAAGGUUG
Molecule: ribosomal RNA, 542 nt
Filed under: uncultured bacterium
Lineage: Bacteria
Description: bacterial SSU rRNA
Rfam family: Bacterial small subunit ribosomal RNA
Source: RNAcentral